Non-coding RNA from Daucus carota subsp. sativus, 210 nucleotides. The record is from Rfam. NCBI's taxonomy places the organism in Eukaryota, Viridiplantae, Streptophyta, Magnoliopsida, Apiales, Apiaceae.
ACAACCUUACUUGAACAGGAUCUGUUCUAUAGGCUCAUACCUCUGCACCCUUGAUUUCUAAGGAGGCAGGUCACCAAGUCUGGUGGAUGAACCAUGACUGCAUGACCAGAGCGUGAUUAACAGCCCUGUAACCUUGUGUUGGCCAUACGAGGACCUUGUGUUGGCCAUGCGAGCCGUAGAGGAUCGUUUUGUGCAGUUGUCUGACAGACC